AGAGUUUGAUCCUGGCUCAGAGUGAACGCUGGCGGUAGGCCUAACACAUGCAAGUCGAACGGCAGCACAGUAAGAGCUUGCUCUUACGGGUGGCGAGUGGCGGACGGGUGAGGAAUACAUCGGAAUCUACUUUUUCGUGGGGGAUAACGUAGGGAAACUUACGCUAAUACCGCAUACGACCUACGGGUGAAAGCAGGGGAUCUUCGGACCUUGCGCGAUUGAAUGAGCCGAUGUCGGAUUAGCUAGUUGGCGGGGUAAAGGCCCACCAAGGCGACGAUCCGUAGCUGGUCUGAGAGGAUGAUCAGCCACACUGGAACUGAGACACGGUCCAGACUCCUACGGGAGGCAGCAGUGGGGAAUAUUGGACAAUGGGCGCAAGCCUGAUCCAGCCAUACCGCGUGGGUGAAGAAGGCCUUCGGGUUGUAAAGCCCUUUUGUUGGGAAAGAAAUCCAGCUGGUUAAUACCCGGUUGGGAUGACGGUACCCAAAGAAUAAGCACCGGCUAACUUCGUGCCAGCAGCCGCGGUAAUACGAAGGGUGCAAGCGUUACUCGGAAUUACUGGGCGUAAAGCGUGCGUAGGUGGUUGUUUAAGUCUGUUGUGAAAGCCCUGGGCUCAACCUGGGAACUGCAGUGGAAACUGGACGACUAGAGUGUGGUAGAGGGUAGCGGAAUUCCUGGUGUAGCAGUGAAAUGCGUAGAGAUCAGAGGAACAUCCAUGGCGAAAGCAGCUACCUGGACCAACACUGACACUGAGGCACGAAAGCGUGGGGAG
This 772-nucleotide ribosomal RNA is filed under the name uncultured bacterium. RNAcentral's name for it is "bacterial SSU rRNA". It matches the Rfam family "Bacterial small subunit ribosomal RNA", at positions 8 to 768 of the family's 1533-position model. The record is from RNAcentral.